UUGGUUCAGGAUGAACGCUGGCGGCAUGCCUAAUACAUGCAAGUCGAACGGACGGAAGAGGAAGCUUGCUUUCUUGGAAGUCAGUGGCGAACGGGUGAGUAACACGUAGGUAACCUGCCCAUGUGCCCGGGACAACGCCUGGAAACGGGUGCUAAAACCGGAUAGGUAGAGAGAUCGCAUGAACUUUCUAUUAAAGGGGCUACGGCCCUGAACAUGGAUGGACCUGCGGUGCAUUAGCUAGUUGGUGAGGUAACGGCCCACCAAGGCGACGAUGCAUAGCCGACCUGAGAGGGCGAACGGCCACAUUGGGACUGAGACACGGCCCAAACUCCUACGGGAGGCAGCAGUAGGGAAUUUUCGUCAAUGGGGGGAACCCUGAACGAGCAAUGCCGCGUGAGUGAAGACGGUCUUCGGAUUGUAAAGCUCUGUUGCGAGAGAAAAACGACACGGAUAGGGAAU
This 459-nucleotide ribosomal RNA is filed under the name Eubacterium sp. P308. RNAcentral's name for it is "bacterial SSU rRNA". It matches the Rfam family "Bacterial small subunit ribosomal RNA", at positions 19 to 466 of the family's 1533-position model. Lineage: Bacteria; Bacillati; Bacillota; Clostridia; Eubacteriales; Eubacteriaceae. The record is from RNAcentral.